RNAcentral lists this transfer RNA (74 nucleotides) under Verrucomicrobiota bacterium. RNAcentral describes it as "Verrucomicrobia bacterium (rhizosphere metagenome) tRNA-Pro". It matches the Rfam family "tRNA". From Rfam's summary of the family: Transfer RNA (tRNA) molecules are approximately 80 nucleotides in length. Their secondary structure includes four short double-helical elements and three loops (D, anti-codon, and T loops). Further hydrogen bonds mediate the characteristic L-shaped molecular structure. tRNAs have two regions of fundamental functional importance: the anti-codon, which is responsible for specific mRNA codon recognition, and the 3' end, to which the tRNAs corresponding amino acid is attached (by aminoacyl-tRNA synthetases). tRNAs cope with the degeneracy of the genetic code in two manners: having more than one tRNA (with a specific anti-codon) for a particular amino acid; and 'wobble' base-pairing, i.e. permitting non-standard base-pairing at the 3rd anti-codon position. RNAcentral also lists the same sequence under 2 other names. Lineage: Bacteria; Pseudomonadati; Verrucomicrobiota. The record is from RNAcentral.
CGGGCUGUGGCUCAGCUUGGUAGAGCGCCACGUUCGGGACGUGGAGGCCGUGGGUUCGAAUCCCACCAGCCCGA